RNAcentral lists this transfer RNA (71 nucleotides) under Loxodonta africana (African savanna elephant). It matches the Rfam family "tRNA". Rfam says of the family: Transfer RNA (tRNA) molecules are approximately 80 nucleotides in length. Lineage: Eukaryota; Metazoa; Chordata; Mammalia; Proboscidea; Elephantidae. The record is from Rfam by way of RNAcentral.
GCACUGGUGGUUCAGUGGUAGAACUCUUGCCUUCCGUACGGGAGACCUGGGUUUAAUUCCUGGCCAAUGGA